This is a long non-coding RNA of Tupaia belangeri chinensis (Chinese tree shrew), 1135 nucleotides long. RefSeq lists it as uncharacterized. The transcript has 3 exons. Lineage: Eukaryota; Metazoa; Chordata; Mammalia; Scandentia; Tupaiidae. The record is from RefSeq and is a predicted model, not a curated record.
AGUUUCUCCUCUGCUAAGGAGAGACUGGACUAGCUGAUCUUCGCCGUCCUUCCUGCUCUGAUCUCCUACGAAAACAUCCCCACAGCAUACAGAGCCCCUAAGACCUUUUUCAGUCUCCAGCAAUGAGAGUGAAGGGGCUCCGGAGGAGGCAGGUCUGUGCUCAGACAAGCAGAUGUGGGGUAUGCUGGCAGUCUCACGGCCUGCUGGCUGCACAGGAAAACCCCUGGAAGGCGAGGAGACCUUCACCUUGACCAAAUCAGCAAUUAGCGGGACCCAAUUUGGCAAGAGCUUAGCACAAAGCAGGAAUGAGGAACCGAGGAAACGCUCUGAACCAUGUUCAAGAAACACGUCUUCCUGCCUUGGGAACGUCGGGUCUGUCUUCCCCGGGACGUCCUACACCUUCCCACCACUGCAGGGCGGGCUUCUGCCACCAGGACCACCACCCCAGCAGGAAGUCGCCUUAAACACUCCCUCCAACAACCCUUUACUUGGGCACAGUCACCAAGCCUUGGUGAUACACAGCCAUGGGGCCCGCCUCACGUCAGCCCCGUAAGGCGGGCAGUUCCGAGGUUCUUAGACCCGUUUCACAGAGGAAGAUGAGAGACGCGUCGUGACUUACCAGUCAGACGGCUGGGAGUCACAUGGCCUACACUUAGCGUUCCAGGCAGUGGGAUCAGAAGGUAGCCAGGAUGGGGGACGGGACGGGGCGGGGUCCGGGUUGAUGUAGCCGAGGAUUGGAAAGAUUUGGCUGAGUGAUCGCAGCUCCUCUGUGCCCAGAAAGUCCCACUUUGAGUCACCUGCCUCUCCCCGCCAAGACAGCAGCACCUGCCCCGCUGGGCCCUGCUGAAUCAUCUCCCUUUUGCUGCUUCCGCAAGGUACUCUCAGUCAGGCCCUCUUUCUGGCUUUCGUAGGCUCUGACUCAAGGUUCGUUUCAGGUAGGCAGUAUCUGUGGAAGCUUCUGGUGUAGGGCCUACGUCUAAGUAAGAGGAGGCGUUUGGGAGUUACUGUGAAAGAGCAGCACCCUGAACAGCAUCUGACCUCGGAGGAAAGAGGUACACAGGUCUACGGUGGCAGUGGUAAUACCCAGUUACAUAACCAGGCCAACAAUUAGAACUUGCGUGUCUGUAGCACCUGU